Molecule: ribosomal RNA, 614 nt
Filed under: Amphimallon solstitiale
Lineage: Eukaryota; Metazoa; Arthropoda; Insecta; Coleoptera; Scarabaeidae
Description: partial 16S large subunit ribosomal RNA
Rfam family: Bacterial large subunit ribosomal RNA
Source: RNAcentral
UUUAAAGUCUAACCUGCCCAAUGAGGAGUUCAAUGGCCGCGGUAUUUUGACCGUGCAAAGGUAGCAUAAUCAUUAGUUUUUUAAUUGAAAGCUGGUAUGAAUGGUUGGACGAGAAAGCGACUGUCUCAAUUUAAUUGAAGUAGAAUUUUAUUUUUAAGUUAAAAAGCUUAAAUGAGUUUAAAAGACGAGAAGACCCUAUAGAGUUUAAUAUAUAUUAUUAAUACUUAAUUAUUAGUAUAUAUGAAUAGGUAUAUUAAUAUGUAUUUUGUUGGGGUGACAGGAAAAUAGACUUAACUUUUCCUACAUUAGUACAUUAAUUUAUGAGUGUAUGAUCCGUUGUUAGCGAUUAUAAGAUUAAAUUACCUUAGGGAUAACAGCGUAAUUCUUUUUGAGAGUUCUAAUCGAAAAGAGAGUUUGCGACCUCGAUGUUGGAUUAAAAUUAAUUUCUGGUGUAGAAGCUAGAAUAUUAGGUCUGUUCGACCUUUAAAAUUUUACAUGAUCUGAGUUUAAACCGGUGUAAGCCAGGUUGGUUUCUAUCUUUAAAUAGUUAAAGUAUCUUAGUACGAAAGGACCAGGUAUUUAUAAUAGUUAUUUAAUAUUGAAUAUUAGUAAUA